RNAcentral lists this ribosomal RNA (460 nucleotides) under uncultured bacterium. RNAcentral describes it as "partial 16S ribosomal RNA". It matches the Rfam family "Bacterial small subunit ribosomal RNA", at positions 338 to 795 of the family's 1533-position model. The record is from RNAcentral.
CCUACGGGAGGCAGCAGUGAGGAAUAUUGGUCAAUGGACGCAAGUCUGAACCAGCCAUGCCGCGUGCAGGAAGACGGCUCUAUGAGUUGUAAACUGCUUUUGCACGAGGGUAAACGCAGAUACGCGUAUCUGUCUGAAAGUAUCGUACGAAUAAGGAUCGGCUAACUCCGUGCCAGCAGCCGCGGUAAUACGGAGGAUUUAAGCGUUAUCCGGAUUUAUUGGGUUUAAAGGGUGCGUAGGCGGUCGGAUAAGUUAGAGGUGAAAUCCCGGGGCUCAACUUCGGAAUUGCCUCUGAUACUGUUCGGCUGGAGAGUAGUUGCGGUAGGCGGAAUGUAUGGUGUAGCGGUGAAAUGCUUAGAGAUCAUGCAGAACACCGGUUGCGAAGGCAGCUUACCGGGCUGCUUCUGACGUUGAGGCACGAAAGCGUGGGGAGCAAACAGGAUUAGAUACCCGGGUAGUC